Molecule: ribosomal RNA, 663 nt
Filed under: uncultured bacterium
Lineage: Bacteria
Description: bacterial SSU rRNA
Rfam family: Bacterial small subunit ribosomal RNA
Source: RNAcentral
AGUCGAGCGAGCGGAACUACAGAUUUACUUCGGUAAUGACGUUAGGAAAGCGAGCGGCGGAUGGGUGAGUAACACGUGGGGAACCUGCCCCAUAGUCUGGGAUACCACUUGGAAACAGGUGCUAAUACCGGAUAAGAAAGCAGAUCGCAUGAUCAGCUUUUAAAAGGCGGCGUAAGCUGUCGCUAUGGGAUGGCCCCGCGGUGCAUUAGCUAGUUGGUAAGGUAAAGGCUUACCAAGGCGAUGAUGCAUAGCCGAGUUGAGAGACUGAUCGGCCACAUUGGGACUGAGACACGGCCCAAACUCCUACGGGAGGCAGCAGUAGGGAAUCUUCCACAAUGGACGCAAGUCUGAUGGAGCAACGCCGCGUGAGUGAAGAAGGUUUUCGGAUCGUAAAGCUCUGUUGUUGGUGAAGAAGGAUAGAGGUAGUAACUGGCCUUUAUUUGACGGUAAUCAACCAGAAAGUCACGGCUAACUACGUGCCAGCAGCCGCGGUAAUACGUAGGUGGCAAGCGUUGUCCGGAUUUAUUGGGCGUAAAGCGAGCGCAGGCGGAAGAAUAAGUCUGAUGUGAAAGCCCUCGGCUUAACCGAGGAACUGCAUCGGAAACUGUUUUUCUUGAGUGCANAAGAGGAGAGUGGAACUCCAUGUGUAGCGGUGGAAUGCGU